This 334-nucleotide unclassified non-coding RNA is filed under the name soil metagenome. RNAcentral describes it as "partial contains 5.8S ribosomal RNA, internal transcribed spacer 2, and large subunit ribosomal RNA". The stretch from base 1 to 120 matches the Rfam family "5.8S ribosomal RNA", at positions 35 to 154 of the family's 154-position model. The record is from RNAcentral.
GAUGAAGAACGUAGCGAAAUGCGAUAAGUAAUGUGAAUUGCAGAAUUCAGUGAAUCAUCGAAUCUUUGAACGCACAUUGCGCCCGCCAGUAUUCUGGCGGGCAUGCCUGUUCGCGCGUCAUUUCAACCAUCAAGCCCUGCUUGCGUUGGGGUCCUGCGGCUGCCCGCAGGCCCUGAAAACCAGUGGCGGGCUCGCUAGUCACACCGAGCGCAGUAAUACAUCUCGCUUUGGGCGUGCGGCGGGUUCUUGCCGUUAAACACCCCCUUUUUACCAAGGUUGACCUCGGAUCAGGUAGGAAUACCCGCUGAACUUAAGCAUAUCAAUAAGCGGAGGA